Molecule: ribosomal RNA, 468 nt
Filed under: uncultured bacterium
Lineage: Bacteria
Description: partial 16S ribosomal RNA
Rfam family: Bacterial small subunit ribosomal RNA
Source: RNAcentral
GACGAACGCUGGCGGCGUGCUUAACACAUGCAAGUCGAACGGAAAGGCGCUGCUCUUGUGGGGUGCUCGAGUGGCGAACGGGUGAGUAACACGUGAGUAACCUGCCCUUGACUUUGGGAUAUCUCUAGGAAACUGGGGCUAAUACCGGAUAGGAGCUCCUGCUGCAUGGUGGGGGUUGGAAAGUUUCGGCGGUUGGGGAUGGACUCGCGGCUUAUCAGCUGGUUGGUGGGGUAGUGGCUUACCAAGGCUUUGACGGGUAGCCGGCCUGAGCGGGUGACCGGCCACAUUGGGGCUACGGUACGGCCCAGAAUCCUACGGGGGGCAGCAGUGGGGAGUAUUGCACAGCGGGCGGAGGCCUGAUGCAGCAACGCCGCGUGCGGGAUGACGGCCUUCGGGUUGUAAACCGCUUUCGCCUGUGACGAAGCGUGAGUGACGGUAAUGGGUCAAGAAGCACCGGCUAACUACGUG